This is a long non-coding RNA of Urocitellus parryii (Arctic ground squirrel), 331 nucleotides long. RefSeq lists it as uncharacterized. Lineage: Eukaryota; Metazoa; Chordata; Mammalia; Rodentia; Sciuridae. The record is from RefSeq and is a predicted model, not a curated record.
CUAUGGAGAAGCGUGCCGGGGGCGAGACCAGAGGCAGGGACUGAUGGCAGGGAGGCACAAAACCUUGGGGAAUUCAGCAAAGGCAGCCAUAGGCAUGGGGCAGAAGUGACUGAAGUCCCGUCCUGUCCUCGGGACUCUGACAUCUGCUUCCCGGGCUUCAGCAGGGGAUGACCUCAGCCUUCAAGCCAGGUGUCUUUCCCAUCUUCCCACCAAGGUGAAAUGCAUCGAUGACAAGGUCCUGAGCUGCUUUCCUCCUCCACGCCCUUCUGCCCAGAGCAUGGAKUCAGCUGUCUGUGGACUGAGACCUCUGAAACCAUGAUCCCCCAAUAAA